RNAcentral lists this small RNA (571 nucleotides) under Malus domestica (apple). Its description in RNAcentral is "sRNA MD12G0073700". The record is from RNAcentral. Lineage: Eukaryota; Viridiplantae; Streptophyta; Magnoliopsida; Rosales; Rosaceae.
AUGGCGGCAGGGAAGAGGAAGAAAAGAAGAGAUGCGAGAAAGAAGAGGAAAUUGGGGGGAAAGGAGGACAAAUCAAAAAAUACAAGAGGGAGAGACGGGUCAAAAGAAAGGAAAAAAAAGAAAAAAGGGGGAGAUGGCGUUGGCCAAGAGGGGGAUUACAAGGAAUCCCAUUGCCCCGAAACUAUGAACCGGAAUAAGGAGGAAAGAAGAAUGGGAAAGAAGGGGGGAACGAAGAGAGAAAUUGUACCCCGGCUUUUGAGAGAGGUCGAAGGAAGUAUAGAAGGAAGUGUAGAAGACGAUGUCUGAAGAAGCAAAGAGAAUCAUAACGAAGGUACUAGAGAAACAAGACAUGGCAAUUUCGUAUCUCUACCAAAUCAAAUUCUAGCACUAUCGCCGUGGAUUAGUAAAAUUGCUAAUCGCUCUAUGUUUUUAAUUUCUUUUUUCUUUUGAUAUUUAAUUUAGUUUCAUUUCUUUGAUGUCAGGUACUAGAGAAGUAAAACAUGGCAAUUGCUAAUCUUCAAGUUGAAAUGGUGGGAGAGAUUGUGGAGCCAAAAAUAAUCAAGAAGAAUAU